This 1456-nucleotide ribosomal RNA is filed under the name uncultured marine bacterium. Its description in RNAcentral is "16S ribosomal RNA". It matches the Rfam family "Bacterial small subunit ribosomal RNA". The record is from RNAcentral.
GAUGAACGCUGGCGGCGUGCUUAACACAUGCGAGUCGAACGAACCUUCGGGUUAGUGGCGGACGGGUGAGUAACGCGUGGGAAUCUGCCCUCAGGAGGGGGAUAACGGUUGGAAACGGCCGCUAAUACCCCAUAUGCCGAGAGGUGAAAUGAAUUUCGCCUGAGGAUGAGCCCGCGUCUGAUUAGCUAGUUGGUGAGGUAAGAGCUCACCAAGGCAUCGAUCAGUAGCUGGUCUGAGAGGAUGAUCAGCCACACUGGGACUGAGACACGGCCCAGACUCCUACGGGAGGCAGCAGUGGGGAAUUUUCCGCAAUGGGCGAAAGCCUGACGGAGCAACGCCGCGUGAGGGAUGAAGGCCUCUGGGCUGUAAACCUCUUUUAUCAAGGAAGAAGAUCUGACGGUACUUGAUGAAUAAGCCACGGCUAAUUCCGUGCCAGCAGCCGCGGUAAUACGGGAGUGGCAAGCGUUAUCCGGAAUUAUUGGGCGUAAAGCGUCCGCAGGCGGCCCUACAAGUCUGCUGUUAAAAAGUGGAGCUUAACUCCAUCAUGGCAGUGGAAACUGUUGGGCUUGAGUGUGGUAGGGGCAGAGGGAAUUCCCGGUGUAGCGGUGAAAUGCGUAGAUAUCGGGAAGAACACCAGUGGCGAAGGCGCUCUGCUGGGCCAUCACUGACGCUCAUGGACGAAAGCCAGGGGAGCGAAAGGGAUUAGAUACCCCUGUAGUCCUGGCCGUAAACGAUGAACACUAGGUGUCGGGGGAAUCGACCCCUCCGGUGUCGUAGCCAACGCGUUAAGUGUUCCGCCUGGGGAGUACGCACGCAAGUGUGAAACUCAAAGGAAUUGACGGGGGCCCGCACAAGCGGUGGAGUAUGUGGUUUAAUUCGAUGCAACGCGAAGAACCUUACCAGGGUUUGACAUCCUGCGAAUCUCUUGGAAACUUGAGAGUGCCUUCGGGAGCGCAGUGACAGGUGGUGCAUGGCUGUCGUCAGCUCGUGUCGUGAGAUGUUGGGUUAAGUCCCGCAACGAGCGCAACCCACGUCUUUAGUUGCCAGCAUUUAGUUGGGCACUCUAGAGAGACCGCCGGUGAUAAACCGGAGGAAGGUGUGGAUGACGUCAAGUCAUCAUGCCCCUUACAUCCUGGGCUACACACGUACUACAAUGCUACGGACAAAGGGCAGCAAGUUCGCGAGGACAAGCAAAUCCCAUAAACCGUGGCUCAGUUCAGAUCGUAGGCUGCAACUCGCCUACGUGAAGGAGGAAUCGCUAGUAAUCGCAGGUCAGCAUACUGCGGUGAAUACGUUCCCGGGCCUUGUACACACCGCCCGUCACACCAUGGAAGUUGGCCACGCCCGAAGCCGUUACUCCAACCCUUGUGGAGGAGGACGUCGAAGGUGGGGCUGAUGACUGGGGUGAAGUCGUAACAAGGUAGCCGUACCGGAAGGUGCGGCUGGAUCACCUCCU